RNAcentral lists this ribosomal RNA (270 nucleotides) under uncultured bacterium. Its description in RNAcentral is "partial 16S ribosomal RNA". It matches the Rfam family "Bacterial small subunit ribosomal RNA", at positions 88 to 354 of the family's 1533-position model. The record is from RNAcentral.
CCGGCGACCGGCGCACGGGUGAGUAACACGUAUGCGACCUGCCCCCCGCAGGGGGAUAACCGGGAGAAAUCCCGACUAAUACCGCGUAACGCCGCGGACCUGCAUGGGUCUGCGGCCAAAGGAAGCGAUUCCGGCGGGGGAUGGGCAUGCGGCGCAUUAGCUAGUCGGCGGGGUAACGGCCCACCGAGGCGACGAUGCGUAGGGGUUCUGAGAGGAAGGUCCCCCACACUGGUACUGAGACACGGACCAGACUCCUACGGGAGGCAGCAG